GGGCCUUUAGCUCAAUGGUUAGAGCAGAGCACUCAUAAUGCUUUGGUUGUUGGUUCGAGUCCGACAAGGCCCACCA
This 76-nucleotide transfer RNA is filed under the name Puniceicoccales bacterium. RNAcentral's name for it is "tRNA-Ile". It matches the Rfam family "tRNA". Rfam says of the family: Transfer RNA (tRNA) molecules are approximately 80 nucleotides in length. Their secondary structure includes four short double-helical elements and three loops (D, anti-codon, and T loops). The record is from RNAcentral. Lineage: Bacteria; Pseudomonadati; Verrucomicrobiota; Opitutia; Puniceicoccales.